This 252-nucleotide ribosomal RNA is filed under the name uncultured bacterium. Its description in RNAcentral is "partial 16S ribosomal RNA". It matches the Rfam family "Bacterial small subunit ribosomal RNA", at positions 524 to 776 of the family's 1533-position model. The record is from RNAcentral.
GACGGGGGGGGCAAGUGUUCUUCGGAAUGACUGGGCGUAAAGGGCACGUAGGCGGUGAAUCGGGUUGAAAGUGAAAGUCGCCAAAAAGUGGCGGAAUGCUCUCGAAACCAAUUCACUUGAGUGAGACAGAGGAGAGUGGAAUUUCGUGUGUAGGGGUGAAAUCCGUAAAUAUACGAAGGAACGCCAAAAGCGAAGGCAGCUCUCUGGGUCCCUACCCGACGCUGGGGUGCGAAAGCAUGGGGAGCGAACAGG